This 569-nucleotide ribosomal RNA is filed under the name bacterium amp-w-38. RNAcentral's name for it is "bacterial SSU rRNA". The stretch from base 1 to 434 matches the Rfam family "Bacterial small subunit ribosomal RNA", at positions 53 to 537 of the family's 1533-position model. The record is from RNAcentral.
ACAUGCAGUCGAGCGGAUGACGGGAGCUUGCUCUUGAUUCAGCGGCGGACGGUGAGUAAUGCCUAGGAACUGCCUGGUAGUGGGGGACAACGUUUCGAAAGGAACGCUAAUACCGCAUACGUCCUACGGGAGAAGCAGGGGACCUUCGGGCCUUGCGCUAUCAGAUGAGCCUAGGUCGGAUUAGCUUGUUGGUGAGGUAAUGGCUCACCAAGGCGACGAUCCGUAACUGGUCUGAGAGGUGAUCAGUCACACUGGACUGAGACACGUCAGACUCCUACGGAGGAGCAGUGGGAAAUUGACAUGGCGAAGCUGAUCAGCAUGCGCGUGUGUGAGAGUCUCGAUGUAAGACUUAGUGGAGAGGUGUAGAUAUACUCUGCAUUGACGUCGACAGAUAGCCCGCUACUCUGUNCACCAGCGCGUAUACAAAGGGGCAGCUUAUCGAUACUGGCGUAGCCCCGUAGUGUGUAGUGAUGUAACCGCCCACUGACUGCUCACUGAAGCUAAAAACGGAAGGGGGGAUCUGUUGGGGAAUGGAAUUGAGAACAUUGGAGCCCCCUGCCCUACUGACU